GACGAACGCUGGCGGCGUGCUUAACACAUGCAAGUCGAACGGAAAGGCCCUGCUUUUGUGGGGUGCUCGAGUGGCGAACGGGUGAGUAACACGUGAGUAACCUGCCCUUGACUUUGGGAUAACUUCAGGAAACUGGGGCUAAUACCGGAUAGGAUCUCCUGCUGCAUGGUGGGGGUUGGAAAGUUUCGGCGGUAGGGGAUGGACUCGCGGCUUAUCAGCUUGUUGGUGGGGUAGGGGCUUACCAAGGCUUUGACGGGUAGCCGGCCUGAGAGGGUGACCGGCCACAUUGGGCCUAAGGUACGCACCAGACUCCUACGGGAGGCAGCAGUGGGGAGUAUUGCACAAUGGGCGGAAGCGUGAUGCAGCAACGCCGCGUGCGGGAUGACGGCCUUCGGGUUGUAAACCGCUUUCGCCUGUGACGAAGCGUGAGUGACGGUAAUGGGUAAAGAAGCACCGGCUAACUACGUG
RNAcentral lists this ribosomal RNA (468 nucleotides) under uncultured bacterium. RNAcentral's name for it is "partial 16S ribosomal RNA". It matches the Rfam family "Bacterial small subunit ribosomal RNA", at positions 28 to 507 of the family's 1533-position model. The record is from RNAcentral.